Molecule: ribosomal RNA, 760 nt
Filed under: Paracoccus burnerae
Lineage: Eukaryota; Metazoa; Arthropoda; Insecta; Hemiptera; Pseudococcidae
Description: eukaryotic LSU rRNA
Rfam family: Eukaryotic large subunit ribosomal RNA
Source: RNAcentral
GUUCGGGGGUAAACGGACAGAGCCCGUGAAUCCGGGCGACGGAAUUCAGAAUCGACGGCGUUCGCGCGUCGCCGGUUCGAUAUUUCCGUCGCCGUAACAAUGCACGGACGUCGCGACCCGUUCGGUGUCGGUCCUACUCAUAGGAGACGUGUGAAAGUUCGUGAACGCGUGUCGGCUCGUCUGGCGCGCGUUCGCGAGUCCGCGUUUUUUUUUCUGGCCGACUCGCCGGACGGUAUGCGUAACGGUGGCCGCGGCGACCUUUCCAGCGUCGUCGUUCGGUACCGGUCCGCGACGAAUCUUCGGGCCUCUUUCCGACCCGUCUUGAAACACGGACCAAGGAGUCUAACGUGCGCGCGAGUCGCGGGGUGUCGAGUGGUUGGCGGUCGUCUUCGGGCGUUCGUCGGGCCACUCGUUACAAUACGAAACCCGUCUCGUUUUACGAAAGGCGCAAUGAAAGUGAAUUUAGGGGAAGAUGACGUUACCGAGUUCACGUUCCGCGCUCUCGAAGCGCGGCCGGUCGUCCGCAUUCCCAGGGCGUCCCAACGGCCCGGCGGCGUUGCGGACCGCCGUCUCUUCGGAGGCGGUGGUCGGGCGUCGUCGAACCGGGGCGCACCUAUAGCGUGCACGUUGGUACCCGAAAGAUGGUGAACUAUGCCCGGCCAGGAUGAAGUCAGGGGAAACCCUGAUGGAGGUCCGCAGCGAUUCUGACGUGCAAAUCGAUCGUCNGAGCUGGGUAUAGGGGCGAAAGACUAAUCGAACC